CGCAUCUGUGCAUGCAGCAUAUCAAUAAGCGGAGGAAAAGAAACUAACAAGGAUUCCCCCUAGUAACGGCGAGUGAAGCGGGAAGAGCUCAAAUUUGAAAUCUUAAAGGGUUUCCCUUUACGAAUUGUAGUUUAAAGAAGUGUUUUCUGUUGAGGUUUUGGUAAAAGUUCUUUGGAAUAGGACAUCAUAGAGGGUGAGAAUCCCGUAUUUGACCUUUACUUUCAACUUUGUGAUACACUUUCAAAGAGUCGGAUUGUUUGGGAAUGCAGUCCAAAAUGGGUGGUAAAUUUCAUCUAAAGCUAAAUAUUGGCGAGAGACCGAUAGCGAACAAGUACCGUGAGGGAAAGAUGAAAAGAACUUUGAAAAGAGAGUUAAACAGUACGCUGAAAUUGUCAAAAGGGAAGCGCUUGACACCAGUGUUGUUUUUCUGAAAAUCAAUUAAAGAACUGUUUAUGCUAAGCUGUUUAGACUUUAUCAGCUAUCUGUUUAGUUUUGAGCUUUUCUUUAAUGCACUUUUCAGUUAACAAGUCAACAUCAAUUUCUUUUGCUGUAAAAAAGCUUGAGGAAGGUGGCUUGAGAUUCGUCUUAAGUGUUUAUAGCCUCUUGCCUAUGCAGUCGGAGAGAUUGAGGUCUGCAGCGUAGAUCCUUCGGGGCUAAAUGCAUUUGUGCUAAGUUAUAGCAUUUUAUAGACAACUUGUUGACUAUGAUUUGUCUUGUAGCUUACUCGCUUAUGUUAUUUUACCUACGCUUAGGAUGUUGAGUCGUAGAGCACGCAG
RNAcentral lists this ribosomal RNA (776 nucleotides) under uncultured Neocallimastigales. RNAcentral describes it as "partial large subunit ribosomal RNA". It matches the Rfam family "Eukaryotic large subunit ribosomal RNA", at positions 26 to 628 of the family's 3401-position model. Lineage: Eukaryota; Fungi; Neocallimastigomycota; Neocallimastigomycetes; Neocallimastigales. The record is from RNAcentral.